AUGAGAUCUCCCAGUCCAAGAAGGACUCUAAAGACCCCUGGAAGAUGACCAGGUCGAUAGGUCGGCGGUGUAAGGUUGGUAACAACCUCAGCCCACCGAUACUAAUCGGUCGUGCGGCUUGACCUUUAA
This 129-nucleotide ribosomal RNA is filed under the name bacterium. RNAcentral describes it as "partial 23S ribosomal RNA". It matches the Rfam family "Bacterial large subunit ribosomal RNA", at positions 2804 to 2925 of the family's 2925-position model. The record is from RNAcentral.